This 253-nucleotide ribosomal RNA is filed under the name uncultured bacterium. RNAcentral's name for it is "partial 16S ribosomal RNA". It matches the Rfam family "Bacterial small subunit ribosomal RNA", at positions 524 to 776 of the family's 1533-position model. The record is from RNAcentral.
UACGUAGGUGGCGAGCGUUAAUCGGAAUUACUGGGCGUAAAGCGUGCGCAGGCGGCGGCUCAGGUCAGGUGUGAAAUCCCCGGGCUUAACCUGGGAAUUGCGCUUGAAACUAGGCUGCUUGAGUGUGGCAGAGGGGGGUGGAAUUCCACGUGUAGCAGCGAAAUGCGUAGAGAUGUGGAGGAACACCGAUGGCGAAGGCAGCCCCCUGGGUCAACACUGACGCUCAUGCACGAAAGCGUGGGGAGCAAACAGG